This 320-nucleotide ribosomal RNA is filed under the name uncultured eukaryote. RNAcentral describes it as "partial 18S ribosomal RNA". It matches the Rfam family "Eukaryotic small subunit ribosomal RNA", at positions 1470 to 1796 of the family's 1831-position model. The record is from RNAcentral.
CCCUUAGAUGUUCUGGGCCGCACGCGCGCUACACUGACGAAUGCAACGAGCUUAUAACCUUGGCCGAAAGGUCUGGGUAAUCUCCAAAUUUCGUCGUGAUGGGGAUAGAUUAUUGCAAUUAUUAAUCUUCAACGAGGAAUGCCUAGUAAGCGCAAGUCAUCAGCUUGCGUUGAUUACGUCCCUGCCCUUUGUACACACCGCCCGUCGCACCUACCGAUUGAAUGGUCCGGUGAAAUCUCGGGACGGCGGCUUGGUCGCUUGCGUCCGACUGCUGAAACUUGAUUAAACCAUAUCAUUUAGAGGAAGGUGAAGUCGUANCA